GACCGAGGGUGCAAACGUUGCUCGGAAUUACUGGGCGUAAAGGGCUCGUAGGCGGCCAACUAAGUCACACGUGAAAUCCCCAGGCUUAACCUGGGAACUGCGUGUGAUACUGGAUGGCUUGAAUUCGGGAGAGGGAUGCAGAAUUCCAGGUGUAGCGGUGAAAUGCGUAGAUAUCUGGAGGAAUACCGGUGGCGAAGGCGGCAUCCUGGACCGACAUUGACGCUGAGGAGCGAAAGCUAGGGGAGCAAACGGG
This 253-nucleotide ribosomal RNA is filed under the name uncultured bacterium. Its description in RNAcentral is "partial 16S ribosomal RNA". It matches the Rfam family "Bacterial small subunit ribosomal RNA", at positions 524 to 776 of the family's 1533-position model. The record is from RNAcentral.